This 429-nucleotide ribosomal RNA is filed under the name Gemmatimonadota bacterium. Its description in RNAcentral is "Gemmatimonadetes bacterium partial 16S ribosomal RNA". It matches the Rfam family "Bacterial small subunit ribosomal RNA", at positions 355 to 776 of the family's 1533-position model. Lineage: Bacteria; Pseudomonadati; Gemmatimonadota. The record is from RNAcentral.
UAGGGAAUCUUCGGCAAUGGACGAAAGUCUGACCGAGCAACGCCGCGUGAGUGAAGAAGGUUUUCGGAUCGUAAAACUCUGUUGUUAGAGAAGAACAAGGACGUUAGUAACUGAACGUCCCCUGACGGUAUCUAACCAGAAAGCCACGGCUAACUACGUGCCAGCAGCCGCGGUAAUACGUAGGUGGCAAGCGUUGUCCGGAUUUAUUGGGCGUAAAGCGAGCGCAGGCGGUUUCUUAAGUCUGAUGUGAAAGCCCCCGGCUCAAGCGGGGAGGGUCAUUGGAAACUGGGAGACUUGAGUGCAGAAGAGGAGAGUGGAAUUCCAUGUGUAGCGGUGAAAUGCGUAGAUAUAUGGAGGAACACCAGUGGCGAAGGCGGCUAUCUGGUCUGUAACUGACGCUGAGGCUCGAAAGCGUGGGGAGCAAACAGG